RNAcentral lists this ribosomal RNA (864 nucleotides) under Cadophora sp. REF039. RNAcentral describes it as "eukaryotic LSU rRNA". It matches the Rfam family "Eukaryotic large subunit ribosomal RNA", at positions 72 to 953 of the family's 3401-position model. Lineage: Eukaryota; Fungi; Ascomycota; Leotiomycetes; Helotiales; Ploettnerulaceae. The record is from RNAcentral.
GGAUUACCUCAGUAACGGCGAGUGAAGCGGUAAUAGCUCAAAUUUGAAAGCUAGCUCUUUUAGGGUUCGCAUUGUAAUUUGUAGAAGAUGCUUCGGGUGUGGCCCCGGUCUAAGUUCCUUGGAACAGGACGUCAUAGAGGGUGAGAAUCCCGUAUGUGACUGGGUGCUUUCGCUCAUGUGAAGCUCUUUCGACGAGUCGAGUUGUUUGGGAAUGCAGCUCAAAAUGGGUGGUAAAUUUCAUCUAAAGCUAAAUAUUGGCCAGAGACCGAUAGCGCACAAGUAGAGUGAUCGAAAGAUGAAAAGCACUUUGGAAAGAGAGUUAAACAGUACGUGAAAUUGUUGAAAGGGAAGCGCUUGCAACCAGACUUGCGCGCUGAUGAUCAUCCGGGCUUCUGCCCGGUGCACUCGUCUGCGCUCAGGCCAGCAUCGGUUUCGGUGGUGGGAUAAAGGCCUUGGGAAUGUAGCUCCUCUCGGGGAGUGUUAUAGCCCUCGGUGCAAUGCCGCCUACCGGGACCGAGGACCGCGCUUCGGCUAGGAUGCUGGCGUAAUGGUUGUAAGCGACCCGUCUUGAAACACGGACCAAGGAGUCUAACAUCUAUGCGAGUGUUUGGGUGUCAAACCCAUACGCGUAAUGAAAGUGAACGGAGGUGAGAACCCUUAAGGGUGCAUCAUCGACCGAUCCUGAUGUCUUCGGAUGGAUUUGAGUAAGAGCAUAGCUGUUGGGACCCGAAAGAUGGUGAACUAUGCGUGAAUAGGGUGAAGCCAGAGGAAACUCUGGUGGAGGCUCGCAGCGGUUCUGACGUGCAAAUCGAUCGUCAAAUUUGCGUAUAGGGGCGAAAGACUAAUCGAACCAUCUAGUAGCUG